Long non-coding RNA from Cydia strobilella, 2677 nucleotides. RefSeq lists it as uncharacterized. The transcript is spliced from 2 exons. NCBI's taxonomy places the organism in Eukaryota, Metazoa, Arthropoda, Insecta, Lepidoptera, Tortricidae. The record is from RefSeq and is a predicted model, not a curated record.
CCGGCCCUACGACGUGAUGCGCGCCGCCUGGCACGCCGACCCCGCGCAGCGGCCCACGUUCGCCGCCACGCGCCGCACGCUCGCCGCCAUCCAAGACCAGGCGCUCGCCCAGGACCACCCGGUCAGUCUACUGUAGUGUGUAGUGCGCCCCCCCCCCCGGCCCUACGACGUGAUGCGCGCCGCCUGGCACGCCGACCCCGCGCAGCGGCCCACGUUCGCCGCCACGCGCCGCACGCUCGCCGCCAUCCAAGACCAGGCGCUCGCCCAGGACCACCCGGUCAGUCUACUGUAGUGUGUAGUGCGCCCCCCCCCGCCCCCCGGCCCUACGACGUGAUGCGCGCCGCCUGGCACGCCGACCCCGCGCAGCGGCCCACGUUCGCCGCCACGCGCCGCACGCUCGCCGCCAUCCAAGACCAGGCGCUCGCCCAGGACCACCCGGUCAGUCUACUGUAGUGUGUAGUGCGCCCCCCCCCGCCCCCCGGCCCUACGACGUGAUGCGCGCCGCCUGGCACGCCGACCCCGCGCAGCGGCCCACGUUCGCCGCCACGCGCCGCACGCUCGCCGCCAUCCAAGACCAGGCGCUCGCCCAGGACCACCCGUGAGCGGCCGGACGGCGCUAGUAAAUAUAUAACUUAGACUCUACAUCCAUUCUCACACAGGAUUAGGUAAAGUGCUGUGAAGUUGCAAAAUGUAUUUUAAAAAUAACCUAUAGUUAAGUACUAAAUUAUUUUGAUAUUAUGUUUAAAGACACUUCCUCAUGAAGUAUUUCUAAUCUAGUUUAGGUAGCGUGUAAAAUUGGUGUGUUAUAGAGGGAAAAUUGACCGAGUUUAGUAUUAUGUGUACUAUUAUGUUUUAUUUUUAUUUGAGGCCUAAAUGCGUAACGAAUUAUUACGGUAAAGAUUCCACCCAUUAUGGACCGCCGUUCGGUUGUUUGUCGGUACUAUGCUACUGUCUAGUCAAAUAAACGUUUUGUAAUAGUGUUUGUAUCAUAAUUAUAAUUUCCACAGGAAACCGAUAAGACGACUGAUAACGUUAAAGCGAGAAACUAAACUACUGCAUGCACUUCAACUAUAAACCUUGCUAUAGGCGCAAAAAUGCAGGAGUUAUGUAUUUUUCGGAAGAUUUAAUAGCUACAAAAUGAUUAAUUCAUAUAAUAUAUAAUGUACCCCAGUGAUGAGUGUAGAUCCAUUAGUGUUUAGUUUUUCUGAUGAUUUUACACAAUUAGCUAAUUUGGUAAAGUGCAGUUUAGAGUGAGAAUACACAUGAGAGCGCGCGAAGCGCUGCCUAACUACUUACUGUAUGCAGUUUAGGAAAUGUGCGUUAGUGAUUAAUUGUAAUGUAAUGCAUUGGUUUGCACUUUGUCUAGUAGCUCGGUAAGAUAAUGCUUUAGUCAUAAAGCGAAAAGUUGCAGCGGCCAACUUUCAGGUUGUGCUAUUAUAAAAUUGAUAGUAUAUGUAUGUACACAAAAGGUUGAUUUUGCGAUGUAUAAGAUAAAUGUAAUAGAGAUAUAUUGAUUAUGAGAUAAAUUAAACGGUGUAUUGUCCACGAUUUUGAAUCUCAUGUAGAGUGCUGUCAGAUUAUAACUAAAUGGAUAGUUUGUGAUAUGUUUUAUGUAAUAAUGUCUAAGCUGGUGCAUGUCUUACGAUUCCACCCGAACGCCAGUUUUAAUGUUUGCAGUGGCCAUAUUAUAUCAUGUAUGAGUGUGAUUAGAUUGGAACUUUAAUGGGACUUAUACAAUGUAUUUCCAUUUUGAAUUCGUUUCCGCGACUAACAUUCUGAAAGCUGAACACUACAUUCAUGGCAAAUUUGUUUCCAAAUAUUAUAGACAAAUAAAUGCUAAGGCGAACAACGUGCGGGAAAAUAUUGUAGAAGUUUUGUCUGCCACGACAUCAUACAAUGCGGUAACUAGGUUGUCAAGUGCUUAUAGUUACCACAACCCAUAUGGCGACCUAAAAGGCCAUAUAGUUCUGCGGUCAAACUAACUUCUUCGCAAUUUUUCACCACUUUAUCCGUAUUAGUAUUCUUUUAUGCAAAUACUUAUUCCGUUUCUGAGAUAAGACAUUAAUUAUUUUAUUAUUAAAGUAUAUGUUGACUGUGAGUAGCCACUCGCUGCACAAACUGCAUCACAAUAUCGCAUUUAGCUGCACCCGCACUGAUAUAACAUAUGUCUAUGUUGCACCAUUUAUGCCUGGAAAGCGAUGCAUUUAUUUAUGUUUUCUCAUUAAACUGAAAGCAUGAAAAACUGCAGCUCAUCUAUUUAAACUUUCAUUAUGCAAUACUAGUUUUAAGUGUUAAAUUGUUUAUUACGAUUUAUUAUUUAUGACGCCUUUGAAAAUUGAGGGACGGUCGGCAGAAGAGUUUUUUUUUCUACCAAAGUAUAUUCUAUGUAUUUUGAAAGAAAACGUGAACUAUGUUCCCGCUAGCUAGAGUCUUCCUUUAUCGGUAAUUAUUAUAAUUUCUCGUACAAGUGCACUAGUCUAAAGGGUUAUUUCGUUGUAAGCCUAACGACUGUCGUGGUGUUCGUGUUGUAUAUUGUUUCCGUGUGCAUUACGUAUUUGAACAAGAGAAUACAAAUCUCAAGUUGUUUUUAUUACUGUACUUUUAUUUUCACUGUAAAUACAUAAUAUUAAGGGAUAAAGUAUAUGUAUAAUAACAGAAUAUAAAUUCACUCAACAUC